UACGUAGGGCGCAAGCGUUAUCCGGAAUUAUUGGGCGUAAAGAGCUCGUAGGCGGUUUGUCGCGUCUGCCGUGAAAGUCCGGGGCUCAACUCCGGAUCUGCGGUGGGUACGGGCAGACUAGAGUGAUGUAGGGGAGACUGGAAUUCCUGGUGUAGCGGUGAAAUGCGCAGAUAUUAGGAAGAACACCGGUGGCGAAGGCGGCUCUCUGGAACGGUACUGACGCUGAGACGCGAAAGCGUGGGGAGCGAACAGG
Molecule: ribosomal RNA, 253 nt
Filed under: uncultured bacterium
Lineage: Bacteria
Description: partial 16S ribosomal RNA
Rfam family: Bacterial small subunit ribosomal RNA
Source: RNAcentral